UUAAGUUAUUAAGGGCGCACGGUGGAUGCCUUGGCACUAGAAGCCGAUGAAGGACGUUACUAACGACGAUAUGCUUUGGGGAGCUGUAAGUAAGCUUUGAUCCAGAGAUUUCCGAAUGGGGAAACCCAGCAUGAGUUAUGUCAUGUUAUCGAUAUGUGAAUACAUAGCAUAUCAGAAGGCACACCCGGAGAACUGAAACAUCUUAGUACCCGGAGGAAGAGAAAGAAAAUUCGAUUCCCUUAGUAGCGGCGAGCGAAAUGGGAAGAGCCCAAACCAACAAGCUUGCUUGUUGGGGUUGUAGGACACUCUAUACGGAGUUACAAAGGACGACAUUAGACGAAUCAUCUGGAAAGAUGAAUCAAAGAAGGUAAUAAUCCUGUAGUCGAAAAUGUUGUCUCUCUUGAGUGGAUCCUGAGUACGACGGAGCACGUGAAAUUCCGUCGGAAUCUGGGAGGACCAUCUCCUAAGGCUAAAUACUCUCUAGUGACCGAUAGUGAACCAGUACCGUGAGGGAAAGGUGAAAAGCACCCCGGAAGGGGAGUGAAAUAGAACCUGAAACCGUGUGCUUACAAGUAGUCAGAGCCCGUUAAUGGGUGAUGGCGUGCCUUUUGUAGAAUGAACCGGCGAGUUACGAUUUGAUGCAAGGUUAAGCAGUAAAUGUGGAGCCGUAGCGAAAGCGAGUCUGAAUAGGGCGUUUAGUAUUUGGUCGUAGACCCGAAACCAGGUGAUCUACCCUUGGUCAGGUUGAAGUUCAGGUAACACUGAAUGGAGGACCGAACCGACUUACGUUGAAAAGUGAGCGGAUGAACUGAGGGUAGCGGAGAAAUUCCAAUCGAACCUGGAGAUAGCUGGUUCUCUCCGAAAUAGCUUUAGGGCUAGCCUCAAGUGAUGAUUAUUGGAGGUAGAGCACUGUUUGGACGAGGGGCCCCUCUCGGGUUACCGAAUUCAGACAAACUCCGAAUGCCAAUUAAUUUAACUUGGGAGUCAGAACAUGGGUGAUAAGGUCCGUGUUCGAAAGGGAAACAGCCCAGACCACCAGCUAAGGUCCCAAAAUAUAUGUUAAGUGGAAAAGGAUGUGGCGUUGCCCAGACAACUAGGAUGUUGGCUUAGAAGCAGCCAUCAUUUAAAGAGUGCGUAAUAGCUCACUAGUCGAGUGACACUGCGCCGAAAAUGUACCGGGGCUAAACAUAUUACCGAAGCUGUGGAUUGUCCUUUGGACAAUGGUAGGAGAGCGUUCUAAGGGCGUUGAAGCAUGAUCGUAAGGACAUGUGGAGCGCUUAGAAGUGAGAAUGCCGGUGUGAGUAGCGAAAGACGGGUGAGAAUCCCGUCCACCGAUUGACUAAGGUUUCCAGAGGAAGGCUCGUCCGCUCUGGGUUAGUCGGGUCCUAAGCUGAGGCCGACAGGCGUAGGCGAUGGAUAACAGGUUGAUAUUCCUGUACCACCUAUAAUCGUUUUAAUCGAUGGGGGACGCAGUAGGAUAGGCGAAGCGUGCGAUUGGAUUGCACGUCUAAGCAGUAAGGCUGAGUAUUAGGCAAAUCCGGUACUCGUUAAGGCUGAGCUGUGAUGGGGAGAAGACAUUGUGUCUUCGAGUCGUUGAUUUCACACUGCCGAGAAAAGCCUCUAGAUAGAAAAUAGGUGCCCGUACCGCAAACCGACACAGGUAGUCAAGAUGAGAAUUCUAAGGUGAGCGAGCGAACUCUCGUUAAGGAACUCGGCAAAAUGACCCCGUAACUUCGGGAGAAGGGGUGCUCUUUAGGGUUAACGCCCAGAAGAGCCGCAGUGAAUAGGCCCAAGCGACUGUUUAUCAAAAACACAGGUCUCUGCUAAACCGUAAGGUGAUGUAUAGGGGCUGACGCCUGCCCGGUGCUGGAAGGUUAAGAGGAGUGGUUAGCUUCUGCGAAGCUACGAAUCGAAGCCCCAGUAAACGGCGGCCGUAACUAUAACGGUCCUAAGGUAGCGAAAUUCCUUGUCGGGUAAGUUCCGACCCGCACGAAAGGCGUAACGAUUUGGGCACUGUCUCAACGAGAGACUCGGUGAAAUCAUAGUACCUGUGAAGAUGCAGGUUACCCGCGACAGGACGGAAAGACCCCGUGGAGCUUUACUGUAGCCUGAUAUUGAAAUUCGGCACAGCUUGUACAGGAUAGGUAGGAGCCUUUGAAACGUGAGCGCUAGCUUACGUGGAGGCGCUGGUGGGAUACUACCCUAGCUGUGUUGGCUUUCUAACCCGCACCACUUAUCGUGGUGGGAGACAGUGUCAGGCGGGCAGUUUGACUGGGGCGGUCGCCUCCUAAAAGGUAACGGAGGCGCUCAAAGGUUCCCUCAGAAUGGUUGGAAAUCAUUCAUAGAGUGUAAAGGCAUAAGGGAGCUUGACUGCGAGACCUACAAGUCGAGCAGGGUCGAAAGACGGACUUAGUGAUCCGGUGGUUCCGCAUGGAAGGGCCAUCGCUCAACGGAUAAAAGCUACCCCGGGGAUAACAGGCUUAUCUCCCCCAAGAGUUCACAUCGACGGGGAGGUUUGGCACCUCGAUGUCGGCUCAUCGCAUCCUGGGGCUGUAGUCGGUCCCAAGGGUUGGGCUGUUCGCCCAUUAAAGCGGUACGCGAGCUGGGUUCAGAACGUCGUGAGACAGUUCGGUCCCUAUCCGUCGUGGGCGUAGGAAAUUUGAGAGGAGCUGUCCUUAGUACGAGAGGACCGGGAUGGACAUACCUCUGGUGUACCAGUUGUCGUGCCAACGGCAUAGCUGGGUAGCUAUGUGUGGACGGGAUAAGUGCUGAAAGCAUCUAAGCAUGAAGCCCCCCUCAAGAUGAGAUUUCCCAACUUCGGUUAUAAGAUCCCUCAAAGAUGAUGAGGUUAAUAGGUUCGAGGUGGAAGCAUGGUGACAUGUGGAGCUGACGAAUACUAAUCGAUCGAAGACUUAAUCAA
Molecule: ribosomal RNA, 2920 nt
Filed under: Staphylococcus aureus
Lineage: Bacteria; Bacillati; Bacillota; Bacilli; Caryophanales; Staphylococcaceae
Description: bacterial LSU rRNA
Rfam family: Bacterial large subunit ribosomal RNA
Source: RNAcentral